ACAUAUGGACCAUACUUAAUCUAGUCAAAACCGAAGGACAGAAAUAUUUAAUGCAAAUUGUAAAGAGUAUCACAUUAUGUCAUUCAAACUAGUUCUGCUUGUGAAUUGUCUGCAUGACAUAAAAAGAUGGUAAAAAAAGAUAUGCAUAACAUUGAUUUUUAUUACACCUUCUUCAAAAUUUAUAGAUAUAUAAGAUUUGUUUUCUUUUUUAUUACAAAAAAAUCGCAUGCACAAUUUUACCUAUAACGCAUAAAUUGCACACAUCAAGGGUUUGAAUGUUUACAUAAAGGUUCAUUGUGUGUGACUGUAAUAACGAUUGAAUGAGAAAUACAUUAUUAUUAGAGUGCUUUGUGUAUACAUAAUUAACGUGCCAAAAGACAAACAUUAACGCUGACAAAAAAUAGGAUUACAAUCAUUUGUUAAAGACGGUUUCUCCCUUCUUCUGAUGAUAAUGGUGUCGAUGCACAAACUUCAUAUACAAAAAUAUCUUUGAAAAAUGUCGCUAGCAGAUAAAACAGUUUUUACUCAUGGUUGUAUUGAAUUUCUCUUUUGCUUGGUGUACAGUGUUUUUAACAACUAAAUUAUAUAUGUAUUCAAGUAUUGCUUGCUACGCACUCUUCAAGGGCUAGAAGCGUUUCCCAUGUACCCUCUUAUAGUCCAAUGACUACAAAAUAAUUAAAUGGUUAAUUAUCUUAUUGUUAGAUUCUUGUUUUUACUCUUUAUCGAAAAAGGCCAUUUUUGAUUAUUUUUAAGUGUUAAACAUUAGCCUAACGAUAUAUAUUUGAUAUCUAUUUUGUCAUCUUUUCUCUUGUAUUGAUUUACAAUUACUCUGUAGAUAUUUGAGUUUAAGGGGGGAACUUCUAAAACAAGUUAAUCAUAUGCACCUUUUUGUGUGUAUUUUAAGAAAUCCAGACUGUCAUGAAGUAAUUAUGAUAUCGAUUUGUCUCCAAGACACUGGCAAUCAAAGCCGUAAAUGGUUCAACACAUUUCCAGUAUGCGACAGAUCUUAAAGACACUGGCAAUCAAAGCCGUAAUUGGUUCAACACAUUGCCAGUAUGCGACAGAUCUUAAAGACACUGGCAAUCAAAGCCGUAAUUGGUUCAACACAUUGCCAGUAUGAGACAGAUCUUAAAAUAUUGCAUCUUUUACAUAUAACAACUGGUGAAAUCAAUUACAAAUUUUGAACACCAGACCUGACCAUUUCCAGCGAACGCCUAGUCGUUUAUCAAUUAACCAGCAGUUGAAGGGAAAUUUCUUCGAAUAAAGUGUAGCUCCUUUUUGUUUGUUUCAAGCCUUAGUUACAUAUUGAAUCAUAAAUAAGGCUGUUUAUAUAUAGGAUAUGUAUGUAAUCUGAAGAAUAACUUGUUUUUAUGCUGAAAGUGAAAACGUAUUUCGUUCGGGGUGAUUCUGAAAUCAGAGUACGAAAUCUGUUCUUGAUUUCUGUAAAAAGUGUCAGUCAAUUUUUAUAUAGCUGAUACAAUUAAAAGUAUACGAACUAUGCCAAUGAGAAAAGAAGAAAAUAUCUAUAACAGUUAAACAGUCUUGUUUUUCUUUUGGUUAGAUCAUUCAAGCUGAUUUAUAGUCAGAACCUCUGAUUCAAAUAGUGAAUGCAAGGAUAUGUUUAUCAAAAGAAACAAUAGAUGAUGAAAACACAAUCAUCCACAUGAACGCCAAAAUACUUUCCCAUAGCUGAAUAUUUCCUGGAUGUGUUUCUUGUCCUUAUUAUAUCUGAGAUGAUUUUGAUUUUAAUUGUUAUAUCAUUAAAAGCAAUACACAACUUUUUUUGUUAUAGAAGUUUAAUAUAAUAACACAAUUUUGAAAUAUCGUUUUGAAUACUUUUUUCCGUGGUUGUUGUCAGAUGCCAUUGAAGAUGUCAGAAUCAGUGUAUUAGUUCACAAAGUUGAAUGAGGUUAAGCGACCUUUUAAACAUCUUACCGUGUAUCAAAUAUCACUAAAAGAGUGGAUAACAUAUACUGGUAUUUACUUUGAAUUUCUCGAAGUAUCGAUAUGUGUAAAUAGAAUUGUUUGUCAAUCCAAAAAAAAAAAAAUGCUUUUUAAACUUUUUCUCUAAAUGAUUAUAAUAAUUAUGAAUACUAUUUUUUUUAAAGAACAGCAA
This 2116-nucleotide long non-coding RNA is filed under the name Mytilus galloprovincialis (Mediterranean mussel). Lineage: Eukaryota; Metazoa; Mollusca; Bivalvia; Mytilida; Mytilidae. The record is from RNAcentral.